RNAcentral lists this ribosomal RNA (487 nucleotides) under uncultured bacterium. Its description in RNAcentral is "partial 16S ribosomal RNA". It matches the Rfam family "Bacterial small subunit ribosomal RNA", at positions 28 to 507 of the family's 1533-position model. The record is from RNAcentral.
GACGAACGCUGGCGGCGUGCUUAACACAUGCAAGUCGUACGAUGACCCGGCUCUUCGGAGCUGGUGAUUAGUGGCGAACGGGUGAGUAACACGUGGGUGACCUGCCCUGCACUCUGGGAUAAGCCCGGGAAACUGGGUCUAAUACUGGAUACGACCAGUGGCCGCAUGGUCUGCUGGUGGAAAGCCCUUCGGGGUGGUGUGGGAUGGGCCCGCGGCCUAUCAGCUUGUUGGUGGGGUGAUGGCCUACCAAGGCGACGACGGGUAGCCGGCCUGAGAGGGUGUCCGGCCACACUGGGACUGAGACACGGCCCAGACUCCUACGGGAGGCAGCAGUGGGGAAUCUUGCACAAUGGGCGAAAGCCUGAUGCAGCGACGCCGCGUGAGGGAUGACGGCCUUCGGGUGGUAAACCUCUUUCGGCAGGGAACAAGCCUGGGGGUUGUCUUCUGGGUGAGGGUACCUGCGGAAGAAGCACCGGCUAACUACGUG